This 267-nucleotide long non-coding RNA is filed under the name Sorghum bicolor (sorghum). Its description in RNAcentral is "long non-coding RNA (SBIC_LNC000940)". The record is from RNAcentral. Lineage: Eukaryota; Viridiplantae; Streptophyta; Magnoliopsida; Poales; Poaceae.
GUGGCAGCCUCCAUGGAUCAUCUCUUGUGAGCUAUGCCUUCCUUGUGUAAAUUGUUAAACUUCAUGUGUGUCUCUCUUUGUCUCCAAUGUGAGUUUAUCUCAGGACUUCCCAGGUCGAUAUUGAAAGUUUUCCUGCAGGGGUUAGUCCAACAAAAUAUACCAAUGUCUACACAAGCAGUUUUUAGUUCAAUAACCAAACUAGACUCCAUGUCUAAUUAGAUUAAGGAAGGCUGUUUAACCUAAGCACCAUGCUUAAUUUAGAAACCA